AACGAACGCUGGCGGCAUGCCUAACACAUGCAAGUCGAACGAGACCUUCGGGUCUAGUGGCGCACGGGUGCGUAACGCGUGGGAACCUGCCCUUAGGUUCGGAAUAACUCCCCGAAAGGGGUGCUAAUACCGGAUAAUGUCUUCGGACCAAAGAUUUAUCGCCUUUGGAUGGGCCCGCGCUGGAUUAGCUGGUUGGUAGGGUAAAAGCCUACCAAGGCGACGAUCCAUAGCUGGUCUGAGAGGAUGAUCAGCCACACUGGGACUGAGACACGGCCCAGACUCCUACGGGAGGCAGCAGUGGGGAAUAUUGGACAAUGGGCGAAAGCCUGAUCCAGCAAUGCCGCGUGAGUGAUGAAGGCCUUAGGGUUGUAAAGCUCUUUUACCCGGGAUGAUAAUGACAGUACCGGGAGAAUAAGCUCCGGCUAACUCCGUG
Molecule: ribosomal RNA, 433 nt
Filed under: uncultured bacterium
Lineage: Bacteria
Description: partial 16S ribosomal RNA
Rfam family: Bacterial small subunit ribosomal RNA
Source: RNAcentral